GCCCGGGUGGUGAAAUGGUAGACACAGCGGACUUAAAAUCCGCCGACCUCGCGGUCGUGCCGGUUCGAGUCCGGCUCCGGGCACCA
This 86-nucleotide transfer RNA is filed under the name Crenobacter cavernae. Its description in RNAcentral is "Crenobacter sp. K1W11S-77 tRNA-Leu". It matches the Rfam family "tRNA". From Rfam's summary of the family: Transfer RNA (tRNA) molecules are approximately 80 nucleotides in length. The record is from RNAcentral. Lineage: Bacteria; Pseudomonadati; Pseudomonadota; Betaproteobacteria; Neisseriales; Neisseriaceae.